This 233-nucleotide unclassified non-coding RNA is filed under the name uncultured fungus. RNAcentral describes it as "sequence contains ITS2". The record is from RNAcentral. Lineage: Eukaryota; Fungi.
AACGCACAUUGCGCCCUGUGGUAUUCCGCGGGGCAUGCCUGUUCGAGCGUCAUUAUACCCAUCAAGCCUAGCUUGGUAUUGGAGCUUGCAUAUGUGUAGCUCUUAAAAACCUUAGCAGUCUGAUAUAGACCCUAAGUGCAGUAAAUCUCCUCACUUUUUGGGCUCUGUAGAAGCUGUCCCUUAUACUUUUCAAGGUUGACCUCGGAUCAGGUAGGGAUACCCGCUGAACUUAA